GCUUUCUAAAUGUCCGCUGGCAUGCUCCCUCAAUUUGUUUUUUGAUGGACCAAGUCCUCCCCUUGAUGUGCAAUCUCUUAUGAAAUGACUUUACUCAGCUCGGUCACAUGCAAACCUGGGACUGCUGUUUUUUUGGUGGAUAACGGUGGCCCAGUGCAUGAUAGAGAAGUUCCCAGAGGUGACAGCAAACCACACCUCAUAGCCUCACCCCUGGGUCACGAGGACAGGUCUGAGCACCCAGACAGACAUGUGGGACAUGACCAGGUCAUACAGACAGCAUCCAGCGCCUCUGGUGUCCUUCUGCACCCAUUUAGAGGGGGCCCUCCCUGGUGCCCGACGGGCUGCUUCCCAACGUCUGAACACCAUUGUUUCAACAGCCACGGGGGGGGGGGUGUUCCUAGCACCCACACGUGCCACGCAUGCUCAGCACCCAUUUCAUGAAAGCCUCGAAGCUGCAGACUUGGCUCACUACCUUCCUGGAAAUUCUGCCUUGAACACUAUUGGCAGAAUGUCCUCUCUGAAAACCAGCCCACCAAGAAGGACGUUUGUCAGCUCUUAACUCAAAUGAGCAUGUUACUAAAUGCCCCAAGUAUGCCACUUUGAAUUCUAACACUGAUAGAAAUGGAUGGAUGGAUGGAUGGAUGGGUAGAUGGAUGGAUGGAUAGGUGAAUGACAGAUGAAUG
This 683-nucleotide long non-coding RNA is filed under the name Marmota monax (woodchuck). The record is from RNAcentral. Lineage: Eukaryota; Metazoa; Chordata; Mammalia; Rodentia; Sciuridae.